This 478-nucleotide ribosomal RNA is filed under the name uncultured bacterium. Its description in RNAcentral is "bacterial SSU rRNA". It matches the Rfam family "Bacterial small subunit ribosomal RNA", at positions 28 to 507 of the family's 1533-position model. The record is from RNAcentral.
GAUGAACGCUAGCGGCAGGCCUAACACAUGCAAGUCAGGGGUAGAAUUAGCUUGCUAAUUUGAGACCGGCGCACGGGUGCGUAACGCGUAUGCAAUCUACCUUGUACAGGGGAUAGCCCAGAGAAAUUUGGAUUAAUACUCCAUGGUAUAAUUGAAUCGCAUGGUUUGAUUAUUAAAGUUCCAACGGUACAAGAUGAGCAUGCGUCCCAUUAGCUAGUUGGUGUGGUAACGGCAUACCAAGGCGACGAUGGGUAGGGGUCCUGAGAGGGAGAUCCCCCACACUGGUACUGAGACACGGACCAGACUCCUACGGGAGGCAGCAGUGAGGAAUAUUGGUCAAUGGUCGGAAGACUGAACCAGCCAUGCCGCGUGCAGGAAGACGGUCCUAUGGAUUGUAAACUGCUUUUGUACGGGAAGAAACACUCCUUCGUGAAGGAGCUUGACGGUACCGUAAGAAUAAGGAUCGGCUAACUCCGUG